This 113-nucleotide ribosomal RNA is filed under the name Triticum aestivum (bread wheat). RNAcentral's name for it is "rRNA LSU_rRNA_eukarya". It matches the Rfam family "Bacterial large subunit ribosomal RNA", at positions 1071 to 1184 of the family's 2925-position model. Lineage: Eukaryota; Viridiplantae; Streptophyta; Magnoliopsida; Poales; Poaceae. The record is from RNAcentral.
GGAGGUGGGGGUGCAAAGACAGCCAGGAGGUUUGCCUAGAAGCAGCCACCCUUUAAAGAGUGCGUAAUAGCUCACUGAUCGAGCGCCCUUGCGCUGAAGAUGAACGGGGCUAA